GACGAACGCUGGCGGCGUGCCUAAUACAUGCAAGUAGGACGCACAGUCUAUACCGUAGCUUGCUACACCAUAGGCUGUGAGUUGCGAACGGGUGAGUAACGCGUAGGUAACCUGCCUAUUAGAGGGGGAUAACUAUUGGAAACGAUAGCUAAUACCGCAUAACAGUAUGUAACACAUGUUAGAUGCUUGAAAGAUGCAAUUGCAUCGCUAGUAGAUGGACCUGCGUUGUAUUAGCUAGUAGGUAGGGUAAUGGCCUACCUAGGCGACGAUACAUAGCCGACCUGAGGAGGUGAUCGGCCACAAUGGGACUGGGACACGGCCCAGGCUCCCACAGGAGGCAGCAGUAGGGGAUCUUCGGCAAUGGGGGGAACCCUGACCGAGGCACGCCGCGUGGGGGAAGAAGGGUCUCGGGUCGUAAAGCUCGGUUGUUAAGGGAGAACGAGUGUGAGAAUGGAAAGUUCAUACUGUGACGGUACUUAACCAGAAAGGAACGGCUAACUACGUG
RNAcentral lists this ribosomal RNA (505 nucleotides) under uncultured bacterium. RNAcentral's name for it is "partial 16S ribosomal RNA". It matches the Rfam family "Bacterial small subunit ribosomal RNA", at positions 28 to 507 of the family's 1533-position model. The record is from RNAcentral.